GACGAACGCUGGCGGCGUGCUUAACACAUGCAAGUCGAACGGAAAGGCCCUUCUUUUGUGGGGUGCUCGAGUGGCGAACGGGUGAGUAACACGUGAGUAACCUGCCCUUGACUUUGGGAUAACUUCAGGAAACUGGGUCUAAUACCGGAUAGGAGCUCCUGCUGCAUGGUUGGGGUUUUAAAGUUUCGGCGGUUGGGGAUGGACUCGCGUCUUAUCAGCUUGUUGGUGGGGUAGUGGCUUACCAAGGCUUUGACGGGUAGCCGGCCUGAGAGGGUGACCGGCCACAUUGGGACUGAGAUACGGCCCAGAGUCCUACGGGAGGCAGCAGUGGGGAAUAUUGCAAAAUGGGCGGAAGCAGGAUGCAGCAACGCCGCGUGCGGGAUGACGGCCUUCGGGUUGUAAACCGCUUUCGCCUGUGACGAAGCGUGAGUGACGGUAAUGGGUAAAGAAGCACCGGCUAACUACGUG
This 468-nucleotide ribosomal RNA is filed under the name uncultured bacterium. Its description in RNAcentral is "partial 16S ribosomal RNA". It matches the Rfam family "Bacterial small subunit ribosomal RNA", at positions 28 to 507 of the family's 1533-position model. The record is from RNAcentral.